UCCCUCAGUAACGGCGAGCGAAGCGGGAAUAGCUCAAAUUUGAAAUCUCCGGUGCCUGCACCGGCGAAUUGUAGUCUGUAGGGCCAGUUUCGCCCGAGACGGUGUCCCCAAAGUCGUCCUGGAAAGGCGGGCCAGAGAGGGUGAGAGCCCCGUGUGCGGGGGCACCGUCGGAGGUAAGAUCUGUGCCCGAAGAGUCGGGUUGUUUGGGAUUGCAGCCCAAAAUGGGUGGUAAACUCCAUCUAAAGCUAAAUAUUGGCACGAGACCGAUAGCGAACAAGUACCGUGAGGGGAAAGAUGAAAAGCACUUUGAAAAGAGAGUCAAACAGUACGUGAAACCGUCAGGGGGGAAACGAACGAGGUUGGUGCAGUGCCCGCGCAGGUUCAAGCCCUGCCGAGGGUGCCAUCACGGUGAUGAUCAUCAUCCCGGGAUGUCCGCCCGAGGCAGUGCCGUAUUCCUCGUGGGCACGGACCAGCAGCGGUUAGACCGGAGCCAUAAGGCGCGGUGGAAGGUGAGUUGAUGCCGGCCCGUCCUGCAUUGACAGCUUAUAGCCCCGUUGCACGGCGCUCCGGACUGACCGAGGAAGAUGGGCAGCCAUUGCCCGGCACGGCACACGCCACACGGCGGGGCCUUCCGACACGAGUGAACCGUGCGGUGUGGACUGCACGCAGUGCUAGCCGUGGCGGCGAUCUCGUGUCGGUGUGUGCCACUUGUGUGCCAGAGCUGCUGGUAUUCAGACGGCCUCGUCCGACCCGUCUUGAAACACGGACCAAGGAGUGCAACAUGUGCGCGAGCCCUUUGGCGAGUAAACCAGAAGGCGCAAUGAAAGUGAAGGCACGGUCGCCGUGCUGAGGUGAGAGCUGUCUCUUGGCAGCACAUCAUCGACCGAUCCCAUUCACGCCCCCGUGGUGUGGCAGGAUUCGAGUAAGAGUGUACCUGUUGCGACCCGAAAGAUGGUGAACUAUGCCUGAAUAGGGUGAAGCCAGAGGAAACUCUGGUGGAGGCCCGUAGCGAUUCUGACGUGCAAAUCGAUCGUCAAAUUUGGGUAUAGGGCGAAAGACUA
RNAcentral lists this ribosomal RNA (1061 nucleotides) under Dictyoceratida sp. 5 JV-2020. RNAcentral's name for it is "partial large subunit ribosomal RNA". It matches the Rfam family "Eukaryotic large subunit ribosomal RNA", at positions 76 to 933 of the family's 3401-position model. The record is from RNAcentral. Lineage: Eukaryota; Metazoa; Porifera; Demospongiae; Dictyoceratida.